Molecule: ribosomal RNA, 406 nt
Filed under: uncultured bacterium
Lineage: Bacteria
Description: partial 16S ribosomal RNA
Rfam family: Bacterial small subunit ribosomal RNA
Source: RNAcentral
AUUGAACGCUGGCGGCAGGCCUAACACAUGCAAGUCGAACGAGUGGCGGACGGGUGCGUAAUGUCUGGGAAACUGCCCGAUGGAGGGGGAUAACUACUGGAAACGGUAGCUAAUACCGCAUACCAUCGGAUGUUCCCAGAUGGGUUUAGCUAGUGGGUGGGGUAACGGCUGACCUAGGCGACGAUCCCUAGCUGGUCUGAGAGGAUGACCAGCAACACGGGAACUGAGACAGGGUCCAGACUCCUACGGGAGGCAGCAGAGGGGAAGAUUGCACAAUGGGGGCAAGCCGGAUGAAGCCAUGCCGCGUGGAGGAAGAAGGCCUUCGGGUUGAAAAGUACUUUCAGCGAGGAGGCGUUACUCGCAGAAGAAGCACCGGCUAACUCCGUGCCAGCAGCCGCGGUAAUUC